AGAGUUUGAUCCUGGCUCAGAACGAACGCUGGCGGCAGGCCUAACACAUGCAAGUCGAGCGCCCCGCAAGGGGAGCGGCAGACGGGUGAGUAACGCGUGGGAAACUACCCUUUGGUACGGAACAACUCGGCGAAAGCUGAGCUAAUACCGUAUGUGUCCUUCGGGAGAAAGAUUUAUCGCCAAAGGAUGUGCCCGCGUCGGAUUAGCUAGUUGGUGGGGUAAACGGGCCCACCAAGGCGACGAUCCGUAGCUGGUCUGAGAGGAUGAUCAGCCACACUGGGACUGAGACACGGCCCAGACUCCUACGGGAGGCAGCAGUGGGAAUAUUGGACAAUGGGGCAACCCUGAUCCAGCCAUGCCGCGUGAGUGAUGAAGGCCUUAGGGUUGUAAAGCUCUUUCGCCCGCGAAGAUAAUGACUGUAGCGGGAGAAGAAGCCCCGGCUAACUUCGUG
Molecule: ribosomal RNA, 451 nt
Filed under: uncultured bacterium
Lineage: Bacteria
Description: bacterial SSU rRNA
Rfam family: Bacterial small subunit ribosomal RNA
Source: RNAcentral